Molecule: non-coding RNA, 73 nt
Organism: Desmophyllum pertusum
Lineage: Eukaryota; Metazoa; Cnidaria; Anthozoa; Scleractinia; Caryophylliidae
Source: the annotation of a GenBank genome assembly
GCCGCGGUGGCCUAAUGGUUAGCGCGUUGGACUCUGAAUCGAGCAGUUCGGGUUCGAGAGCUGGCCGGGGUCA